RNAcentral lists this transfer RNA (77 nucleotides) under Candidatus Woesebacteria bacterium CG_4_10_14_0_2_um_filter_39_14. Its description in RNAcentral is "tRNA-Arg". It matches the Rfam family "tRNA". Rfam says of the family: Transfer RNA (tRNA) molecules are approximately 80 nucleotides in length. Their secondary structure includes four short double-helical elements and three loops (D, anti-codon, and T loops). Lineage: Bacteria; Candidatus Woeseibacteriota. RNAcentral also lists the same sequence under 1 other name. The record is from RNAcentral.
GUGCUUGUAGCUCAACUGGAUAGAGUGGCUCCCUUCUAAGGAGCAGGUUGCGAGUUCAAUUCUCGCCAAGCACACAA